UCAGACGAUGCGUCAUGCAUAUCAAUAAGCGGAGGAAAAGAAACUAACAAGGAUUCCCCUAGUGACGGCGAGUGAAGCGGGAAGAGCUCAAAUUUGAAAUCUUAAAGGGUUUCCCUUUACGAAUUGUAGUUUAAAGAAGUGUUUUCUGUUGAGGUUUUGGUAAAAGUUCUUUGGAAUAGGACAUCAUAGAGGGUGAGAAUCCCGUAUUUGACCUUUACUUUCAACUUUGUGAUACACUUUCAAAGAGUCGGAUUGUUUGGGAAUGCAGUCCAAAAUGGGUGGUAAAUUUCAUCUAAAGCUAAAUAUUGGCGAGAGACCGAUAGCGAACAAGUACCGUGAGGGAAAGAUGAAAAGAACUUUGAAAAGAGAGUUAAACAGUACGUGAAAUUGUCAAAAGGGAAGCGUUUGACACCAGUGUUGUUUUUCUGAAAAUCAAUUAAAGAACUGUUUAUGCUAAGCUGUUUAGACUUUAUCAGCUAUACUGUUUAGUUUUGAGCUUUUCUUUAAUGCACUUUUCAGUUAACAAGUCAACAUCAAUUUCUUUUGCUGUAAAAAAGCUUGAGGAAGGUGGCUUGAGAUUCGUCUUAAGUGUUUAUAGCCUCUUGCCUAUGCAGUCGGAGAGAUUGAGGUCUGCAGCGUAGAUCCUUCGGGGCUAAAUGCAUUUGUGCUAAGUUAUAGCAUUUCAUAGACAACUUGUUGACUAUGAUUUGUCUUGUAGCUUACUCGCUUAUGUUAUUUUACCUACGCUUAGGAUGUUGAAUCUGUGCGAGACUAC
Molecule: ribosomal RNA, 775 nt
Filed under: uncultured Neocallimastigales
Lineage: Eukaryota; Fungi; Neocallimastigomycota; Neocallimastigomycetes; Neocallimastigales
Description: partial large subunit ribosomal RNA
Rfam family: Eukaryotic large subunit ribosomal RNA
Source: RNAcentral